AUUCUAGUAGCUUAGUGGUUGGAGUAUCGACCUCGACUCUAAGGUCGCGGGUUCAAAUCCUGCCAAUGACA
Non-coding RNA from Sphenostylis stenocarpa, 71 nucleotides. NCBI's taxonomy places the organism in Eukaryota, Viridiplantae, Streptophyta, Magnoliopsida, Fabales, Fabaceae. The record is from the annotation of a GenBank genome assembly.